AGCAGCCGCGGUAAUUCCAGCUCCAAUAGCGUAUAUUAAAGUUGUUGCAGUUAAAAAGCUCGUAGUUGAAUUUCGGGAUCAAUAUGUUGGUCGUGCCUCGGUACGUACUGGCGUCAUUGGUUUCUACCUUCUGAAGAACCUCGAUGUCAUUAAUUUGGUGUCUUGGGGAAUCAGGACUGUUACUUUGAAAAAAUUAGAGUGUUUAAAGCAGGCUCACGCUUGAAUACAUUAGCAUGGAAUAAUGAAAUAGGACGUUUGAUUCUAUUUUGUUGGUUUCUAGGAUCGACGUAAUGAUUAAUAGGGAUAGUUGGGGGCAUUAGUAUUCAAUUGUCAGAGGUGAAAUUCUUGGAUUUAUUGAAGACUAACUACUGCGAAAGCAUUUGCCAAGGAUGUUUUCAUUAAUCAAGAACGAAAGUUAGGGGAUCGAAGACGAUCAGAUACCGUCGUAGUCUUAACCAUAAACUAUGCCGACUAGGGAUCGGAUGAUGUUAAUUUUUUAAUGUACUCAUUCGGCGCCUUA
This 520-nucleotide ribosomal RNA is filed under the name uncultured Glomus. RNAcentral's name for it is "SSU rRNA". It matches the Rfam family "Eukaryotic small subunit ribosomal RNA", at positions 569 to 1090 of the family's 1831-position model. The record is from RNAcentral. Lineage: Eukaryota; Fungi; Glomeromycota; Glomeromycetes; Glomerales; Glomeraceae.